This is a long non-coding RNA of Mastomys coucha (southern multimammate mouse), 291 nucleotides long. RefSeq lists it as uncharacterized. The transcript has 2 exons. NCBI's taxonomy places the organism in Eukaryota, Metazoa, Chordata, Mammalia, Rodentia, Muridae. The record is from RefSeq and is a predicted model, not a curated record.
ACAAGUCCACAACCCUCACCAGCCCACACUUGCUGGAAUUCGUGAGACAGUGAAUGAAUCAGCCUUAGGGGGUAUCUCGAUCUAUUGCUUUAUAUGACUGGAUGGAAGUGGCUACUUACCACUUUUUGAGGGCAUCAAGAUGGCCUUGGUGGGUGUGAAGGAGGAGGAACAUAGUGAAGUAAGCCUCACAGCACCGUAGUCUGACAUGGAGCAUGCACGAUUGAUCCAAAGAGAUUUGAAAUAUCUGUGGAAGAUGGAGUAAUCUGAGAAUUAAAGAGAGAGUGAUGUGAA